UUCUGGUUGAUCCCGCCGGAGGUCACCGCUAUUGGAAUCCGAUUAAGCCAUGCGAGUCGUGAGGGUUCGGCCCUCGGCUGACUGCUCAGUAACACGUGGAUAAUCUGCCCUAGGACGGGAAAUACCCUCGAGAAAUUGAGAUCAAGGUCCCUUAGGUCCAGGAUGCUGGAACGCUCCAGGACUGAACCCUAGGAUGAGUCUGCGGCCUAUCAGGUUGUAGUGAGUGUAACGUACUCACUAGCCGAUUACGGGUAUGGGCCAUGGGAGUGGUAGCCCGGAGAUGGACUCUGAGACACGAGUCCAGGCCCUACGGGGCGCAGCAGGCGCGAAAACUUCGCAAUGCGGGAAACCGCGACGAGGGGAUUCCAAGUGCUCACACAAUGUGUGAUGCUGUUUCUAG
Molecule: ribosomal RNA, 400 nt
Filed under: uncultured archaeon
Lineage: Archaea
Description: bacterial SSU rRNA
Rfam family: Archaeal small subunit ribosomal RNA
Source: RNAcentral